Molecule: long non-coding RNA, 97 nt
Organism: Chiroxiphia lanceolata (lance-tailed manakin)
Lineage: Eukaryota; Metazoa; Chordata; Aves; Passeriformes; Pipridae
Exons: 3
Source: RefSeq, a predicted model, not a curated record
UUAGAAGUUUUAGUAACGCCUCUGUGAUAACAUAUUUAAGAAAAACCUUGUUGCACAGAAGAAAUUGCAACCAGGGGAGAGCAGAGGGAGAACAUGG